CGGACCCCAGGAUGGGC
RNAcentral lists this ribosomal RNA (17 nucleotides) under Dendrobium goldfinchii. Its description in RNAcentral is "partial 26S ribosomal RNA". The record is from RNAcentral. Lineage: Eukaryota; Viridiplantae; Streptophyta; Magnoliopsida; Asparagales; Orchidaceae.